Camelus dromedarius (Arabian camel) is the source of this 2588-nucleotide long non-coding RNA. RefSeq lists it as uncharacterized. The record is from RefSeq and is a predicted model, not a curated record. Lineage: Eukaryota; Metazoa; Chordata; Mammalia; Artiodactyla; Camelidae. The transcript is spliced from 9 exons.
GCCACCCCUUUUCUCUCCAGAAUGAAGACAAAUAAACAGCAAGCCCAGAACUCAAAUGAGUGGCUUUCAUAAGAGCUUAAAUCAAAGAAAGGAGGUGUCCUUUCCCGAGAGGACCGCUAAGCGGUGGGAAGACUGCACACUCUGACGCAAAACGCAGAGAGCGCAGUGCUUAAGCAAAGCCCGUGAGAGCAGCUGAUGAAGAUGUCAUCUGGUGUGCGUGCGGUUCAGACACAGGCAUCGUCGGUGAGGGGUGGCACUGUGGAGACCAACCAGACCUUGAUUCACUGAAUGUGAAGCUACACAUGGAUCAAUUUCCUCUGAGAGAAAUCUAGGAACAUGUUGACUGAACCCUACACAAUGGGCAGCUGAGGAAAUACCCACGUUGAACCAGGUUACUACAAGAUACUGAAUAUAGUUCCCUGUGCCGUACAGAAGAAACUUGUUGUUUAUCUGUUUUAUAUGUAGCUUGACACGGAAAGAGGAGACGAGUGAAAGUAGCCCAUUUCCAGAAUGAACGUUUAUGGUUCCCCCAUUCUGAACCAUCAUGAAAAACAGAAACAGUAAUAGCUCACCGCAAGCAUGAAGCCGACCCUGCAGUUUUAUGAGACACCUACUGCUAAAAAAGACCACAGUUUGGGGUGGAAAUAGUUUUGAUACUCAGGUUAGUGUUAUUCUGAUUACAGCAGGAUCGUAUCGACAGUUUUUAUUGAAUUUGCUUUUAAGGAAAUACACACAUCCCUUUUGGUGCAGUAGUAUUAAAGCAAUAGUCCCAUUAGACACCAUAUUAUAUUCACCCAUUAAAAACAUAAGCAGUAGCUUGAGCAUGCCGAUUUCCACGUGCACCUUUGUUAGCAACUGCAGAGUGGUUACUUGACUUGACGAAGGUCACGUGGCUGCGAAGAGGAUUCAGUGCCACACCCCAGGCCUUGGGGACCCUAAGCUGUGCACUUUUCAUUACACCAGCUCUCUCUGGCUAGAAAUACUGAGGUCAUGUUUUCUGCUUUCCUUAUUUCAAGGGGUGAUGGUAUCUCAUGAGGUUAAUAUAUACAAAUGAGCAGUGUUAAUACUGAAUCUGUAAAAAGCUUUCCUCUCUGUAGGCUCAAGCAGAAAAAUCUGGUUUAAGUUUCCUGAAUAACUUCCCUCUAGGUAAAUGCUACAUUAAAAAAAUUCCCAAAUCCCAAAAUCAUAAAAAUAAAAAUCAGGAGAAUGCGUGUCCUGUUGACAUUCAAGAAUAGAUAAAAUUUUAGAAAAGUCAGUAUUGCUAGCAAAACAGAGAUUGAAGAGAGAUUUGUAAAGCUCAAAUUUUUAUGAUCAACUUUUUUUUUUUUUUUUUUUUUUUUGCCUUUUAAUUUUAUCAUCCCGCCUCUAUCCACAAUGGAGCUGUGCCUCUGGGUCCUGAAACAAUGACUGUAUUUCCAAGUCUCCCAUUCAGCGAGGUGUGGCCACGUGACCAGGCACCGGCCAGUGAGACGCGAGGAGCUAGGAUGCGUGUGACUCUGAAAAUUACUUUUAAAGGGAGGAGGAUGCUGCUGUUUCUCGCUCCCUUUCUUCAUCUUGCUGCUCAGAAGGUGAAAGAAAGCUGCGUCCAGGAGAAGUUAAGGAAGGUUCCCAAGGGUGCACAAAGGGAUUCACCUCCAGUGUGCUGUGCUCCAAGCUGGUGCCGCUUCGCAACCUCUCUCCUGCCCCCUCCGCAGUCUCCCACGCCCCACCACCCAACACACCAGCUUCACAAAGGGGCUACUGGGGACUGAACCUGGGACCUCGUGCAUGCUAAGCACGCGCUCUGAGCUACAUCCUCCCCCGGUGCUUCCCUUUGUCAUAACACCUGUGCUGCUGAUUUGAAUGUGACUGGUGAGAGUGAGCACCACCUGGUUUGUAGGGGGAGAAAAAAGCUUUUAAAAUGGACUCAAGAAACAGAAAAGCCUUCUGUCAAAGAUGGCUCCAUGUUAAAUCUGGCCAAGUUUUGAUUCUGCGCUAUUGGAAUCUAGGAUUUGGACCUUAGGAGGUGGCCUCAGAUCUCCUUCCCUGAUGCUGUUGUCACAGUGCAGCACAAUGUGGAUGACUCUCAGAGGAAACAGCGUACAGGAGUCACACGGUUUCCAUGAAAAUCAACGAGGAAAUCAACAAAUGGAACUUCUGAGCGAAUUUGCUUCUGGUGGAGGAACGGGGAGGAGAACGAACUGUGCCUUGUUCUCAUGUGCAAGUUCCAGUGACGGUAAUUGGUGGAAUGACCUUGUGGCAAUGACCUUGCGGGAACGACUUCACCUUCACCUUGCUGGUCAUCAGUGCCAUCUGAAAAAUUCCACAUAUGAGCGAUCUCACAUGGUAUUUUAAUGGAAUACUACUCAGCCAUAAAAACUGACAACAUAACGCCAUUUGCAGCAACAUGGAUGCUCCUGGAGAAUGUCAUUCUAAGUGAAGUAAGCCAGAAAGUAUGAGUUUCUUAAAGUAACUGCCCAAGGACUUCCCUUACCUUGAAAUGCUGCACGAAUCCUAUUUGGAUUCCUUUGUAAAAUGUUUGUUUCUUUUAAAAUAUUUUUAAUUCUUUGAAAGUUUCUUAGAAAAUGAAAAAGUUAAAUAAAUCAUAG